AUGCACAAUGGGUCAGUGUUUCUGGCUAUUAACCAGAAGGAUGGUGGUUCGAGUCCACCCAGGGAUG
Molecule: non-coding RNA, 67 nt
Organism: Podarcis lilfordi (Lilford's wall lizard)
Lineage: Eukaryota; Metazoa; Chordata; Lepidosauria; Squamata; Lacertidae
Source: the annotation of a GenBank genome assembly